GAUGAAGAACGUAGCGAAACGCGAUAAGUAAUGUGAAUUGCAGAAUUCAGUGAAUCAUCGAAUCUUUGAACGCACAUUGCGCCCCCUGGUAUUCCGGGGGGCAUGCCUGUUCGAGCGUCAUUUCACCACUCAAGCCUCGCUUGGUAUUGGGCAACGCGGUCCGCCGCGUGCCUCAAAUCGACCGGCUGGGUCUUCUGUCCCCUAAGCGUUGUGGAAACUAUUCGCUAAAGGGUGCUCGGGAGGCUACGCCGUAAAACAAACCCAUUUCUAAGGUUGACCUCGGAUCAGGUAGGGAUACCCGCUGAACUUAAGCAUAUCAAUAAGCGGAGGA
This 331-nucleotide unclassified non-coding RNA is filed under the name soil metagenome. RNAcentral's name for it is "partial contains 5.8S ribosomal RNA, internal transcribed spacer 2, and large subunit ribosomal RNA". The stretch from base 1 to 120 matches the Rfam family "5.8S ribosomal RNA", at positions 35 to 154 of the family's 154-position model. The record is from RNAcentral.